CUUGACUGUAGUCUGGAAUUGGGUUUGGGUUCCUUUUGCGCAGCCUAGGUGGGAGGCGUUGAUCAUUCCUUUCCGGGGGGGUGUGAGCCAUUCGUGAGAGACCACUCUAAAGGAGCUAGAAUUCUAAUGGCGAUCCUUGAAGCAGGACGCUUGACAGUUUCAGGCAGGCAGUUUGACUGGGGCGGUCGCCUCAUAAAAGGUAACUGAGGCGUGCAAAGGUUCCCUCAGGCUGGACGGAAAUCAGCCGGAGCGUGUAAAGGCAGAAGGGAGCUUGACUGCAAGACCUACAAGUCGAGCAGGGGCGAAAGCCGGCCUUAGUGAUCCGACGGUACCGUGUGGAAGGGCCGUCGCUCAACGGAUAAAAGUUA
This 368-nucleotide ribosomal RNA is filed under the name uncultured organism. RNAcentral's name for it is "bacterial LSU rRNA". It matches the Rfam family "Bacterial large subunit ribosomal RNA", at positions 2099 to 2465 of the family's 2925-position model. The record is from RNAcentral.